This 292-nucleotide ribosomal RNA is filed under the name Bacillus velezensis. RNAcentral's name for it is "partial 16S ribosomal RNA". It matches the Rfam family "Bacterial small subunit ribosomal RNA", at positions 1250 to 1533 of the family's 1533-position model. The record is from RNAcentral. Lineage: Bacteria; Bacillati; Bacillota; Bacilli; Caryophanales; Bacillaceae.
CGAAACCGCGAGGUUAAGCCAAUCCCACAAAUCUGUUCUCAGUUCGGAUCGCAGUCUGCAACUCGACUGCGUGAAGCUGGAAUCGCUAGUAAUCGCGGAUCAGCAUGCCGCGGUGAAUACGUUCCCGGGCCUUGUACACACCGCCCGUCACACCACGAGAGUUUGUAACACCCGAAGUCGGUGAGGUAACCUUUAUGGAGCCAGCCGCCGAAGGUGGGACAGAUGAUUGGGGUGAAGUCGUAACAAGGUAGCCGUAUCGGAAGGUGCGGCUGGAUCACCUCCUUUCUAAGGA